UGAGAUCGCGAAGGCUUGCACCCCUCCCCUGGAAGGCGGAGAGGGGCUGGAGGCAAGUGGAUGGGAGAGGGCGGUCAGGAAGCUGAUGCCCACCUGCCUGGGCCGGGAGGUGUUGCUGAAGAACCCUAUUUGUCAAAGAGCACAGAUUGCUCAGUUUGUGUCUUUUCCAGAAAGAAAACGGAGUUCAGAUAGAGGAAUGAGAUAGUUGAAAGCUUGGAGUGACAAUUGCCAUUGUUUGUUUUAAUUUUUCCAAGAGAUAAGACUGGAUAGAAGUUGAUCUGGUGGCUUUAAUGAGUUAAAGUCUCUGGACCUUGGGAAUGACAUUCCCAAGGAAAUUCAAGUGCCAUUACAUAGCCACAGAAAUCUCAGAAGAAUUGUGGCUCAUGGGAGACAAAAUAUGGAGAAGCAGUCUGAUUUUCAGGAACGGAGGAAAAGACACAUCAAGAAGAUGGCAAACCAGAAAAAGAGCUCACCAGAUCCUGACCAUGCUGGCACUAUGAUCUCAGACUUCCCAGCCUCUAGAACUGUGAGAAAUACAUGUCUGCUGUGUAAGCCACCAGUUUAUGAUAAUUUGUUACAGCAACCUGCAUUUAGACAAUAAUCACUUUAAAUUAUAACCCGUUUGUUCAAAAUAAGUCAUAACCAACU
Long non-coding RNA from Molossus molossus (Pallas's mastiff bat), 648 nucleotides. RefSeq lists it as uncharacterized. The transcript is spliced from 3 exons. NCBI's taxonomy places the organism in Eukaryota, Metazoa, Chordata, Mammalia, Chiroptera, Molossidae. The record is from RefSeq and is a predicted model, not a curated record.